CACGUAGUUAGCCGUGGCUUCCUCCUUAGCUACCGUCAUUAUCGUCACUAAGGACAGAGGUUUACAAUCCGAAAACCGUCUUCCCUCACGCGGCGUUGCUGCAUUAGGGUUUCCCCCAUUGUGCAAUAUCCCCCACUGCUGCCUCCCGUAGGAGUCUGGGCCGUGUCUCAGUCCCAAUGUGGCCGAUCAACCUCUCAGUUCGGCUACCGAUCGUCGCCUUGGUAGGCCGUUACCCCACAACUAGCUAAUCGGACGCGAGCCCAUCUAAAAGCGGAUUGCUCCUUUGAUCUCAGAACCAUGCAGUUCCGAGAUGUUAUGCGGUAUUAGCGACCGUUUCCAGUCGUUAUCCCCCUCUUCUAGGCAGGUUGCUCACGCGUUACUCACCCGUCCGCCACUAAGUUUGCUCCCGAAGGAACAAACUCCGUUCGACUUGCAUGUGUUAGGCACGCCGCCAGCGUUCGUCCUGAGCCAGGAGUCAAACUACU
RNAcentral lists this ribosomal RNA (485 nucleotides) under uncultured Oscillospiraceae bacterium. Its description in RNAcentral is "partial 16S ribosomal RNA". The record is from RNAcentral. Lineage: Bacteria; Bacillati; Bacillota; Clostridia; Eubacteriales; Oscillospiraceae.